AAGGUCUUAUCUUAAUUAAAGAGUUUGCUUUGCACGCAAAAAAUGUGGGGUAGUGUCCUGCAGAUCUUA
RNAcentral lists this transfer RNA (69 nucleotides) under Bathygadus favosus. Its description in RNAcentral is "tRNA-Ala". It matches the Rfam family "tRNA". From Rfam's summary of the family: Transfer RNA (tRNA) molecules are approximately 80 nucleotides in length. Their secondary structure includes four short double-helical elements and three loops (D, anti-codon, and T loops). The record is from RNAcentral. Lineage: Eukaryota; Metazoa; Chordata; Actinopteri; Gadiformes; Macrouridae.